CAAGUACUCCCUCCGUCCAGAAAAACUUGUUGAAGAAAUGGAUAAAAAUAGAUGUCUCUAGAACUAAAAUACGUCUAGAUACAUCCAUUCCUCUGACAAGUAUUUCCGGACGGAGAGAAUAGUAG
Triticum aestivum (bread wheat) is the source of this 125-nucleotide non-coding RNA. NCBI's taxonomy places the organism in Eukaryota, Viridiplantae, Streptophyta, Magnoliopsida, Poales, Poaceae. The record is from Rfam.